This 93-nucleotide small RNA is filed under the name Salmonella enterica. RNAcentral's name for it is "partial RtT sRNA". It matches the Rfam family "RtT RNA", at positions 36 to 130 of the family's 130-position model. Rfam says of the family: This family represents a bacterial cis-regulatory element known as RtT RNA. The exact function of RtT is unknown although it is thought that it may be involved in changing the cellular response in relation to amino acid starvation. Lineage: Bacteria; Pseudomonadati; Pseudomonadota; Gammaproteobacteria; Enterobacterales; Enterobacteriaceae. RNAcentral also lists the same sequence under 1 other name. The record is from RNAcentral.
CGCAGGUUCGGGUCGAACGCAGUGAGACAACGGAGCCGUUUACGGCGACGGCCCGUAGGGCGAGCGAAGCGAGUCAUCCUGCACGACCCACCA